GAAUCCUGGAAGUAUCAGCCAGGUAGAUCAGUGGUUCUCAACCAGGGAUUUGAACCUGCUUGUGGUGGAGUAUACAAACCCUACACUAGACAACAAGGCGUUAAGGAGCUUCUGUGGGCUCAGCCAGCUCCACCCUGCCAUAUGUGCAAGGCAUCCACAGGCGGGAGCAGGAGUUAAAAGGGGAGCAGAACAGCUCACUUAUGGGCAGACCAGGGAAGAGAACAUAUCUUCGUCCCCUGGGGAAAGGAGCUUCCCAAACCAUUGCCUGAAGGCUCCUCCCUGGUGAGAGGGAGGGGCAGAUCCUCAUACUCCCUGAAAGGAGAGACUUGGAAGUGACCUCGCUGGAGGGCCAUGUCACAGGAAGAGGCGGAGCAGUCACUGACAUCAAAUCCCAGUGGAGAGAGCUGCCAUGCCAUUCCUGGCCAUGAGGAGGUGCCAGUGCUGAGCUGAUGCUUUCACAAUGCUACAUCUGUUUUCUCAUAAGGAGAAAUGUAAGAUGUGCUAUAAACAUUUACAUGUUAGCAAAGGAAAACCAAACAGGGGCUAAAACUCUAAUAAAUCUAAAACAUCUACACUUCCAUGUGGACCAGGGGGCCAGUUCAAAGCAGCAGCUGAAGAAGUCUUUUCCCUGAAGUUCUCCAUGGUUGAGGGAUGGAUUGCUUUCUCAGGCCCUGAUCCAGCAAAGCAUUUAAGCACAUGCUUAAUUUUAAACACGAGUAAUCUAAGACCUUGUGGACACUAGAUUCCAGCCACUGGUGCAGUUCCCCCUGUGCAAGCUCUUAGUAUAGACUGGCAAAAAUACCACUGGCACCACUGCUUUAAAUUGUCCUCUCACUGCUUUAAAUUGAGAUAAGCUGCACUAAUCCAAAUUUGCAGCUUCAGCUGGUUUGUCUGUCUAGAGAUGGUUCUGCCCCAGUGCUCCUACGCUGGUGAUGGGUCACCAGUGGCUGAAGUCUGGGCAACUCUCCCCUGCCAACAUCAUCUCAUUGCCUUCAGUGGGAUUACUUGCAAACUUGCAAGUGGGAUUACUUGCAAACUUAACUUUAAUGAGGCCUCUCUUAGCAUGUUACAUUUACCUGAAAUGUUCCUUCUGCCACCCAGACACCAUGUCAUUCAUUUCUUUCAUCUUCUCUUCAAACCUUUUCUUUCUGCCAACCCCACUCAUCUUCCCUUCCCUCCUUACUGCAGCUCUCGGGUCACUCCUCCCUAUAUCAGGGAAUAAAUAUUCUAAUCUUUACCCAUUUUUAAAUUUCAGCUCUUUCCUUUCGCUCAAGUCCACCAUUAUCUCAUUUUUGUUUUCCUACAUGGCCUGUAGGAGUGUCAUUGCACCCAGCUCUCUAAAUUGUUCUUGUUAUUUUAUGUCUUGCUCUGUUAAGUGUUUUGUGAUAAUUGGGGUGUGUGGGCUGUUUCUUGGAGCUAAGUCCUGGAAUUAGAAAGGGCUUCUAAAGAGAUGGAAUCAUAUCCCAAGUCACUCAUACACUACUGUGAUUACUGAUUAGAAGCAUUUGUAAAACAAUUAUUUUUGCAAAUGUGAUCUUUUAAAGUUUUAUUCACAUGCUUGUCUGUUGUCUACUUGAGAUCAGUGAUUCUUUCAGUAGAAUGGGGAAGUAUCACUUCUGUUUUAGUGUCUGGGUAUGGUCUGAUUCUGAUCACUGCUCAUUCAAUUGACUUCUGUGAGAACUGUGGGUUCUCAGCACCUUUCAGGUUUAGGCCAUUGUGUUAAUUUCCAUAUGUCUUUAUAGAUAAGUAUAGUAUCUAGAAGAGAUGAGUAGGUGUAUGUUUAAAGAAAAGUACGUAUGAUGUGAGUAGUUCUGAACAAAGUAUCUAGAGGAUUAUUUAUCUUCAACUUUGUGCAUAGCAAGAAAUAGAGACAAAUGGACAAGGAUCUCUCUCUCUCUCUCUCUCUCUCUCUCUCUCUCUCACACACACACACACACACACACACACACACACACACACACACACGGCAUUGUUUUGAAAAUUCUGUCCUUCAACUAGUUUCACACAUCUGCAGAGUAAUAGCAUAUUUCUGAAGUCGUUUAUGAAAUGAACAACUUCACAAAACAUGGUGUAAUGAGUCUUAAGAGUAAAAUUGCAACUGAUUGAACUACUAGCAAAGAAAAAUAUAUCUCCUUUUUAACACAAAUUUGUUAUUAAAUAGCAUAUGACACCUUGGGUAUCUAGAUUACUUAAUGUCAGUUUAGGUGGUGAUUAAAUGGUUUGAAAUAAUUACUUGGAAAUGUAUAGAAGACUGAUCCUGCUCUCAGUGAAAUCGGCAAAACUUUCAAUGAGGUAAAUUGGAGAAAGAGACUGGACCCUAAUUUAUGCUUAUCAUGUAGUGGCAUUAGUGACAUGCAGAAAACAUUGUUGUGCUUUCUAUUAAAAUGAACAAUAAUAAAUCAGACCAGGAAAAUCUUCU
Mauremys mutica (yellowpond turtle) is the source of this 2419-nucleotide long non-coding RNA. RefSeq lists it as uncharacterized. The record is from RefSeq and is a predicted model, not a curated record. Lineage: Eukaryota; Metazoa; Chordata; Testudines; Geoemydidae. The transcript is spliced from 3 exons.